AUUUCUAUGACCAAAGGCUUCGGCCGGUAAAGGAUGGGGAUGCGUCUGAUUAGCUUGCCGGCGGGGUAACGGCCCACCGGGGCGACGAUCAGUAGGGGUUCUGAGAGGAAGGUCCCCCACAUUGGAACUGAGACACGGUCCAAACUCCUACGGGAGGCAGCAG
RNAcentral lists this ribosomal RNA (163 nucleotides) under uncultured bacterium. RNAcentral's name for it is "partial 16S ribosomal RNA". It matches the Rfam family "Bacterial small subunit ribosomal RNA", at positions 191 to 354 of the family's 1533-position model. The record is from RNAcentral.